This is a non-coding RNA of Myodes glareolus (Bank vole), 1005 nucleotides long. The record is from RefSeq and is a predicted model, not a curated record. Lineage: Eukaryota; Metazoa; Chordata; Mammalia; Rodentia; Cricetidae.
CCAACCCGGGAAGUCCUGCCGGUCCGAUCUGCCAGUCGUCUCUGUCCCCGCCCAGCGGCCCGCGGUGCAUUCCCUCGCCUUGCAAGGCUAGUGAGGACUGAGAGGCAGGAAGUGAUUUGUUCCCCCACCCAGGUCGACCUGCACUUUGCUUACUACAGGCUCCAACACCAGGGACCUGCUACUGGUCCUAAAUUCUGUCUUCCUGGGGACGUUUGCUUUCAGCCUUCCCUGCGGCACCAACGCCCAGCUAAACCCUCCCUGCCCUAGGGGGGCAAAUUCUUUCCACCUUUGAUUCAGUCCUCUCUCUCUCUCUCUCUCUCUCUCUCUCUCUCUCUCUCUCUCUCUCGGCUUGAGUUUUUAGUCUUUCUCAUCCAAAAUAACAUCUUCCCUAGGAGCCAAGUCUGUCCUCAGUCCCCUCGUCAGAAGGCCGUCUGUUCAAGCCUCUGUCUCAGAAUGACUUUCCAGUUCCUAAGACAACCCAUUUUGACACCAGGAUCUGCUGUCUGUCUCCCCACCUACCUUUCCAGCUUCCAUCAGCCACCCUGUUCCCAACCAGAGGACUGGGAUCGCUGCCCACCCAGCUCUUCUGGCAAGUGUCUAGAGUUUCCAAAAGUUGACAGCCUACCGGUACUUCAGAGACAAUUCAAGGCCAGCCUGUUCAGGUUAUCCAGGAUCCUGAGGAGGAAGGAAGGCGUGCAAAGUAACUAGCUGACCCAAUACUGGAGAUGAAACACUUUAAUCUACCAGUGGCACGUAACACUGCACAGGGAGUCACAGCUCCCAGAGGUUCCUUCCAGGUCAAAGGAAGUUCCAGAAAUAUUUAGAUGCUGGUCCCUUGCCUGUGAGAUCAGGGUAAGUAGAGGAGAAGGGCAGGUGCCCUCCUGUCACUCAUAGAUCCAGUUUUGUGCACAGCUCUUGUAAUCCACCAGCUCCUCAGGCUGAAACCACAAGCUGAUCUCCUUCUCUGCGCUCUCCACAGAAUCGCUGCCGUGAAUGAUGUUCCUG